This 419-nucleotide ribosomal RNA is filed under the name uncultured bacterium. RNAcentral's name for it is "bacterial SSU rRNA". It matches the Rfam family "Bacterial small subunit ribosomal RNA", at positions 355 to 772 of the family's 1533-position model. The record is from RNAcentral.
UGGGGAAUAUUGGACAAUGGGCGGAAGCCUGAUCCAGCAACGCCGCGUGAGGGAUGACGGCCUUCGGGUUGUAAACCUCUUUCAGUGCAGACGAAGUUUCGUUCUUUUGGGCGGAGUGACGGUAUGCACAGAAGAAGGACCGGCCAACUACGUGCCAGCAGCCGCGGUAAUACGUAGGGUCCGAGCGUUGUCCGGAAUUAUUGGGCGUAAAGGGCUCGUAGGCGGUUUGUCGCGUCGGGAGUGAAAACCCAGGGCUUAACUCUGGGCUUGCUUUCGAUACGGGCAGACUUGAGGCAUGCAGGGGAGAACGGAAUUCCUGGUGUAGCGGUGAAAUGCGCAGAUAUCAGGAGGAACACCGGUGGCGAAGGCGGUUCUCUGGGCAUGUUCUGACGCUGAGGAGCGAAAGUGUGGGGAGCGAA